ACUCCUACGGGAGGCAGCAGUAAGGAAUAUUGGACAAUGGGGGCAACCCUGAUCCAGCCAUGCCGCGUGCAGGAUGACAGUGCUCUGCACCGUAAACUGCUUUUACUUGGGAAAAAACCUUUGCUUUCUAGCAGAGCUGAUUGUACCGAGAGAAUAAGGGACGGCUAACUUCGUGCCAGCAGCCGCGGUAAUACGAAGGUCCCAAGCGUUAUCCGGAUUUAUUGGGUUUAAAGGGUGCGUAGGCGGCUUAUUAAGUCAGUGGUGAAAGCCCCAAGCUUAACUUGGGAAUUGCCAUUGAUACUGAUGAGCUUGAGUAGAUUUGAGGCGGGCGGAAUGUGUCGUGUAGCGGUGAAAUGCUUAGAUAUGACACAGAACACCAAUUGCGUAGGCAGCUCGCUAAACUCUUACUGACGCUGAGGCACGAAAGCAUGGGGAUCAAACAGGAUUAGAUACCCUGGUAGUCCAUGCCCUAAACGAUGAUUACUCGAUGUGUGCGAUACACUGUACGCGUCUGAGCGAAAGCAUUAAGUAAUCCACCUGGGGAGUACGGUCGCAAGACUGAAACUUAAAGGAAUUGACGG
Molecule: ribosomal RNA, 581 nt
Filed under: uncultured Sphingobacteriia bacterium
Lineage: Bacteria; Pseudomonadati; Bacteroidota; Sphingobacteriia
Description: bacterial SSU rRNA
Rfam family: Bacterial small subunit ribosomal RNA
Source: RNAcentral